Molecule: long non-coding RNA, 879 nt
Organism: Triplophysa rosa
Lineage: Eukaryota; Metazoa; Chordata; Actinopteri; Cypriniformes; Nemacheilidae
Exons: 3
Source: RefSeq, a predicted model, not a curated record
UGAGAAUAAGAAUAGUCCAAAGUUUGGUUUUUGGCCCCUGCUAAGUGAACACACGUUUUAAAAUCGUGCACAUGAUUAGAAAAGGCUAAAUGUUAUUUUGAAAAAUUUCAUCAAGCUUUUUGAUUAUUUUAUAUUUCUUAUUUGUAUUAUAUGAUUAAUUAUAUUAAUAUAUUAUAAAUAAACAUUUUUAUUCUAUAAGUAGAUCCUAAGUCACUGAAAUCUUUUGAAAAUGUAAACGUUGUUGUGCUUUCCAUCCAAACAAACCGCAGCUGCUCUGUGUGUUUAUUGUGCAGUCUCGCCCUCCACAGUACUGUGGCGCUGUUGGCCCAAUGUCGCAGCGUCAAUGCAUGUGCCAUGUGGCGCUUUCGUUAGUAUGUGUGUUUAACUUUUUCCAGCUCUGCGCAGACCGAUCACCUUAUGACAAAACGCAUGCGGACUUAGAAUAACAUCUCUAAAGCAUACAGAGCAGUCAGUUCACAAAUAUCUCUCACUGUGCUUUGAUGUCGCCGAUCCGUCUGCGAUCAAACAUCAGUGGCACGAGUGUUCACCGGUGUUGUUCCGCUCGCGCGACAGGCGGGAAUUCAAAAUAACGGAUCGCAACAACCUCUCGACUGUCCCAUUGGAUAAUUUUCAGUAUUUUCCAGUUGAGCAGCAAAAAAAUGGCAACCAAGGCCAACAGACCAGCCCACCCUGAUGCUCAUCCUUGCACUGCCUGGGACACCUAAGGCCAACAGGCGCAGCUCCUGUUCUCUUUUUGCCAUAAAUACUUUAGCAAUGCAAAAUUGUGAAAUGUACUAUAGAAAUAAUUUUUACUUUGACUACAUGGAUCCUCACACCACCUGGUAAUAGCAGGAAACCCAUUUGGAGAGAACAGCAUUG